RNAcentral lists this ribosomal RNA (492 nucleotides) under uncultured bacterium. RNAcentral's name for it is "partial 16S ribosomal RNA". It matches the Rfam family "Bacterial small subunit ribosomal RNA", at positions 29 to 507 of the family's 1533-position model. The record is from RNAcentral.
AGUGAACGCUGGCGGUAGGCCUAACACAUGCAAGUCGAACGGCAGCACAGUAAGAGCUUGCUCUUACGGGUGGCGAGUGGCGGACGGGUGAGGAAUACAUCGGAAUCUACUUUUUCGUGGGGGAUAACGUAGGGAAACUUACGCUAAUACCGCAUACGACCUACGGGUGAAAGCAGGGGAUCUUCGGACCUUGCGCGAUUGAAUGAGCCGAUGUCGGAUUAGCUGGUUGGCGGGGUAAAGGCCCACCAAGGCGACGAUCCGUAGCUGGUCUGAGAGGAUGAUCAGCCACACUGGAACUGAGACACGGUCCAGACUCCUACGGGAGGCAGCAGUGGGGAAUAUUGGACAAUGGGCGCAAUCCUGAUCCAGCCAUACCGCGUGGGUGAAGAAGGCCUUCGGGUUGUAAAGCCCUUUUGUUGGGAAAGAAAAGCAGCAGGUUAAUACCCCGCUGUUCUGACGGUACCCAAAGAAUAAGCACCGGCUAACUUCGUG